GACGAACGCUGGCGGCGUGCUUAACACAUGCAAGUCGAACGGAAAGGCCCUGCUUUUGUGGGGUGCUCGAGUGGCGAACGGGUGAGUAACACGUGAGUAACCUGCCCUUGACUUUGGGAUAACUUCAGGAAACUGGGGCUAAUACCGGAUAGGAGCUCCUGCAGCAUGGGGGGGGUUGGAAAGUUUCGGCGGUUGUGGAUGGACUCGCGGCUUAUCAGCUUGUUGGUGGGGUAGUGGCUUACCAAGGCUUUGACGGGUAGCCGGCCUGGGAGGGUGAACGGCCACAUUGGGACUGAGAUACGGCGCAGACUCCUACGGGAGGCAGCAGUGGGGAACAUUGCACAAUGGGCGGAAGCCUGAUGCAGCAACGCCGCGUGCGGGAUGACGGCCUUCGGGUUGUAAACCGCUUUCGCCUGUGACGAAGCGUGAGUGACGGUAAUGGGUAAAGAAGCACCGGCUAACUACGUG
This 468-nucleotide ribosomal RNA is filed under the name uncultured bacterium. RNAcentral describes it as "partial 16S ribosomal RNA". It matches the Rfam family "Bacterial small subunit ribosomal RNA", at positions 28 to 507 of the family's 1533-position model. The record is from RNAcentral.